AAAUAGUGCCAGCAACUACAAAAGCAAGUAAUCCACAGGAAUAACAUGUGAAAUAAAGAGAGUACUUUGCUAACUAUUACAAUAGGUCAUCCUUUUCAUUUACAUCAUUUUCUUUAAAUGAUUACAUCUUUCAUCCAAAAUACAUAGCUCUCCAAAUCCUCACCUACAAUGAAUCUCUCUCAAUACAUAGGUGUACUAAUGCAAAAAGGAAAGCUACUAUGCUACCACGGUCUCACUGGUCGGGCGCGAUGCCCUUACCGCGGUCCUCUCUCGGCAGCCCUGUACCUACCACUGGAAAUAGAGUGGGGUGAGAACUAUCUUCCAUAGUUCCCAGUGGGCUCGGCCGCCGACUCUGCCGAUCUCCCCACUAGGUCCAAGUGGGCACAAGCAACAACAGAUAGAUAGAUAGAUAGAUAUCUGAAAGCUGUAAAUGCGAUAGUAGGAAAACUAUGCUACUAUGCCCAUAAUCAUGUGUAAUGAAU
RNAcentral lists this long non-coding RNA (482 nucleotides) under Ananas comosus (pineapple). RNAcentral describes it as "long non-coding RNA (ACOM_LNC038861)". Lineage: Eukaryota; Viridiplantae; Streptophyta; Magnoliopsida; Poales; Bromeliaceae. The record is from RNAcentral.